Molecule: ribosomal RNA, 413 nt
Filed under: uncultured microorganism
Description: bacterial SSU rRNA
Rfam family: Archaeal small subunit ribosomal RNA
Source: RNAcentral
GUGCAGCAGUCGCGAAACCUCCGCAAUACACGAAAGUGUGACGGGGUCAUCCCGAGUGCCGUCCGCUGAGGACGGCUUUUCCCCAGUGUACACAGCUGGGGGAAUAAGGAGAGGGCAAGCCUGGUGUCAGCCGCCGCGGUAAUACCAGCUCUCCGAGUGGUGGGGACGCUUAUUGGGCCUAAAGCAUCCGUAGCCGGCUGGGCAAGUCCUCCGUUAAAUCCAACGAUUCAAUCGUUGGGCUGCGGGGGAUACUGUCCAGCUUGGGGGCGGGAGAGGCCGACGGUAUUCCCGGGGUAGGGGUGAAAUCCUAUAAUCCCGGGAGGACCACCAGUGGCGAAGGCUGUCGGCUAGAACGCGCCCGACGGUGAGGGAUGAAAGCUGGGGGAGCGAACCGGAUUAGAUACCCGCGUAGU